Molecule: long non-coding RNA, 534 nt
Filed under: Homo sapiens (human)
Lineage: Eukaryota; Metazoa; Chordata; Mammalia; Primates; Hominidae
Description: HSALNT0369594
Source: RNAcentral
CUUUGGACUUACAAAGUCCUGCACUCAAGUCCCCCAUGUCCAAAUUUGCCACUUCCUGGAUGUGUGGCCCAGGUCAGCCUACUUAAUCUUGCUGAUAUUCCAGUUUUUCAUCAGGAACAAGGCUGAUCAUAAUACUACCUUGAAGGAUUGCUGUGAGGACUAGCUAGAGGGAUUGUGUGAGAGUCCCUUGCCCAAUGUCUGGAACACAGCUGGGCGCAGUGGCUCACGCCCGUAAUCCCAGCACUUUGGGACGCCGAGGUGGGUGGAUCAUGAGAUCAGGAGUUCGAGACCAGCCUGGCCAACAUGGUGAAACCCGUCCUGAAUAAAAAUACAAAAACUAGCCAGGCGUGGUGGCACACGCCUGUAAUCCCAGCUACUCUGGAGGCUGAAGCAGGAGAAUCACUUGAACCUGGGAGGCGAACUUUGCAGUGAGCUGAGAUUGUGCCACUGCACUCCAGCCUGGGCGACAGAGCAAGACUCCAUCUCGAAAAAAUAUAAAUAAAUAAAUAAAUAAAGUAUUGCAUUAAAAUAGUC